GCCUCACCACUGGCUUUGAAACAAUCGCUUGUAUUCUCUGCCCGGCAGGAAGCAGCAGACCCAUCAAGGCCCUGGGCUCACUCUUUGUUCUGACUUUAUGGCAUUUUAUGCCACAAUAAGAAACACUGUGUACUCCGUGGGAGCCCAUUGUGCCAGGCUGCAAGGAUGUGGGCUCCGGUGCAGAGGGCCUGGUGCUCUUCCCCAGGAAGAAGAGGGGCUUUGUGACAGCCUGGGGGACAAAACAAGGGGUGCCGGACACUGUUACUGAGGCAACUGCCUGGCCAGUGUGGAGGCAGCUUUAGUCCCUGGGACCGUUUCUGUGCCCAAGGAGAGGGAGGGCAGGGGAAGGAUGGAAUUUCAUCUAGAGUAGCAGGUCCUGGUUACCCGGUAAAUUAUGCAUCAGGACUGGGCUAGCCACUGCCUCCGUUUUCUCUGGGCUCCUGAGAUAACCUCCACCUGCCUCAAGAUUCUGUGCCAGCUGAUUGUAUCUAUCUCAUCAACUCUUGUUCCAUCAGGAAAUUGCAUCUUGGAGCAGCAGGCCUGGCUCCUGCCCAGGAGGCACCUGGCCUAGAUCUCAGCGUCACUGAGGAGUUAACCAAGGGAAGCGGCACCAGCAUCACACCCUGUUCCAGCCAACAGUCUCCAGCGUCCCUGACAGAUGUCGGGAAGUUCUUUUCCCCGUAAGAUCCCGGAGAAUGUCCUGAGGCUGCCAUGUGGAAGCUCUGGGGCCUUUCUCGUCUCCCACUGCCAGCCUAAUGAGCUGUGCUGGUAGCAACAGAUGGCGCCCCGCAGGGUCUCACUUGGAUAGCUUGGAAAGUUCCUGGACACUAGUUGGACUUGCCGUGAAAACCAUUAAUCUUGGCCUUUCAGAGAAAAUCUUCAGAAGAAUUUAUUUGCAAGAAUCCCAGGUCUGACAUGGAAGAAGUUUUGAUGACUUACUGCCAACUUUGUAUCACCCCCAAAAUGCUUUAGAGAAACACCUCUCUACAGAGGAAAGCAAGGAACUGUGACUUUAACUAGUG
Molecule: long non-coding RNA, 1022 nt
Organism: Gorilla gorilla gorilla (western lowland gorilla)
Lineage: Eukaryota; Metazoa; Chordata; Mammalia; Primates; Hominidae
Exons: 4
Source: RefSeq, a predicted model, not a curated record